Molecule: unclassified non-coding RNA, 627 nt
Filed under: Hevea brasiliensis (rubber tree)
Lineage: Eukaryota; Viridiplantae; Streptophyta; Magnoliopsida; Malpighiales; Euphorbiaceae
Source: RNAcentral
AUACCCUUUUGAGGAUCCUGAAGAUCCGAAAAACUUCAGGAAAACCAUUGGGAGAAUAAUGAGCGCCCAACACUCCAUACCCGAUUAUGUACGAGUCACACCAGAUUGCAGGAACCUCCUUUCGCGAAUCUUUGUUGCAAAUCCCUCUAAGAGGAUAACUAUUCCUGAGAUAAAGAAACAUCCUUGGUUCUUAAAGAAUCUACCAAAAGAGCUGAUGGAUGUUGAGCACGCGAGAUUCGAAGAAGCUUCAGAGCAACUACAACAAAGUGUUGAAGAAAUCAUGAAGAUGAUACAAGAAGCUAAAGUACCUGGAGUAGUGUCAAAAUCUGAAGGGAAAGAUCCUGCAGGGACAGCAGAACAAGAUGAUUUAGAGGAAGACCUCGAAUCGGAAAUCGACAGCAGCAAUGACUUUGCUGUUUAUGUCUGAGGAUGAAAUUUUAUGAUCAAUUUGAACUUAUAAGAGAAAAAAAUGUUUAAUAUGUUAACUCUUUGUAUUGUUAAAAUUAUGGCUUUGUAUAGAUGAGUUAUGCACAGAGCUGCUAUUUACUGAGUUCUAAAGUGUGCAUUUCAUUUCAUGUAAUGUUUGCAACAAACAGAUUAUGUAACUUUUUAAGUUUUAACCAUUUG